RNAcentral lists this ribosomal RNA (253 nucleotides) under uncultured bacterium. RNAcentral describes it as "partial 16S ribosomal RNA". It matches the Rfam family "Bacterial small subunit ribosomal RNA", at positions 524 to 776 of the family's 1533-position model. The record is from RNAcentral.
GACGUAGGGCGCGAGCGUUGUCCGGAAUUACUGGGCGUAAAGGGCUCGUAGGCGGCCAACUAAGUCAGACGUGAAAUCCCUCGGCUUAACCGGGGAACUGCAUCUGAUACUGGAUGGCUUGAGUUCGGGAGAGGGAUGCGGAAUUCCAGGUGUAGCGGUGAAAUGCGUAGAUAUCUGGAGGAACACCGGUGGCGAAGGCGGCAUCCUGGACCGACACUGACGCUGAGGAGCGAAAGCCAGGGGAGCAAACGGG